GACGAACGCUGGCGGCGUGCUUAACACAUGCCAGUCGAACGGAAAGGCCCUGCUUUUGUGGGGUGCUCGAGUGGCGAACGGGUGAGUAACACGUGAGUAACCUGCCCUUGACUUUGGGAUAACUUCAGGAAACUGGGGCUAAUACCGGAUAGGAGCUCCUGCUGCAUGGUGGGGGUUGGAAAGUUUCGGCGGUUGGGGAUGGACUCGCGGCUUAUCAGCUUGUUGGUGGGGUAGUGGCUUACCAAGGCUUUGACGGGUAGCCGGCCUGGGAGGGUGACCGGGCACAAUGGGACUGCGAUACGGACCAGACUGCUACGGGAGGCAGCAGUGGGGAAUAUUGCACAAUGGGCGGAAGCCUGAUGCGGCAACGCCGGGUGCGGGAUGACGGCCUUCGGGUUGUGAACCGCUGUCGCCUGUGACGAAGCGUGAGUGACGGUAAUGGGUAAAGAAGCAACGGCUAACUACGUG
This 468-nucleotide ribosomal RNA is filed under the name uncultured bacterium. RNAcentral's name for it is "partial 16S ribosomal RNA". It matches the Rfam family "Bacterial small subunit ribosomal RNA", at positions 28 to 507 of the family's 1533-position model. The record is from RNAcentral.